UACGUGGGGUGCAAGCGUUAUCCGGAUUUAUUGGGCGUAAAGAGUUCGUAGGCGGUUUGCCAAGUUUCGUUUGAAAGCCCGAGGCUUAACCUCGGAUCCGGACGAAAAACUGGUAGACUAGAGUCGAUUAGGGGGUACUGGAAUUGUUGGUGUAGCAGUGAAAUGCGUUGAUAUCAACAAGAACACCAAGGGCGAAGGCAGGUACCUGGGAUACGACUGACGCUGAGGAACGAAAGCUAGGGGAGCGAAA
Molecule: ribosomal RNA, 250 nt
Filed under: uncultured bacterium
Lineage: Bacteria
Description: partial 16S ribosomal RNA
Rfam family: Bacterial small subunit ribosomal RNA
Source: RNAcentral